RNAcentral lists this ribosomal RNA (1370 nucleotides) under Plantibacter flavus. RNAcentral's name for it is "bacterial SSU rRNA". It matches the Rfam family "Bacterial small subunit ribosomal RNA". The record is from RNAcentral. Lineage: Bacteria; Bacillati; Actinomycetota; Actinomycetes; Micrococcales; Microbacteriaceae.
GCUUGCUGGGUGGAUUAGUGGCGAACGGGUGAGUAACACGUGAGUAACCUGCCCUUGACUCUGGGAUAAGCGUUGGAAACGACGUCUAAUACCGGAUACUAGCUUCCACCGCAUGGUGAGUUGCUGGAAAGAAUUUUGGUCAAGGAUGGACUCGCGGCCUAUCAUCUUGUUGGUGAGGUAACGGCUCACCAAGGCGACGACGGGUAGCCGGCCUGAGAGGGUGACCGGCCACACUGGGACUGAGACACGGCCCAGACUCCUACGGGAGGCAGCAGUGGGGAAUAUUGCACAAUGGGCGAAAGCCUGAUGCACCAACGCCGCGUGAGGGACGACGGCCUUCAGGUUGUAAACCUCUUUUAGCAGGGAAGAAGCGAAAGUGACGGUACCUGCAGAAAAAGCACCGGCUAACUACGUGCCAGCAGCCGCGGUAAUACGUAGGGUGCAAGCGUUGUCCGGAAUUAUUGGGCGUAAAGAGCUCGUAGGCGGUUUGUCGCGUCUGCUGUGAAAUCCCGAGGCUCAACCUCGGGUCUGCAGUGGGUACGGGCAGACUAGAGUGCGGUAGGGGAGAUUGGAAUUCCUGGUGUAGCGGUGGAAUGCGCAGAUAUCAGGAGGAACACCGAUGGCGAAGGCAGAUCUCUGGGCCGCUACUGACGCUGAGGAGCGAAAGGGUGGGGAGCAAACAGGCUUAGAUACCCUGGUAGUCCACCCCGUAAACGUUGGGCGCUAGAUGUGGGGACCAUUCCACGGUUUCCGUGUCGUAGCUAACGCAUUAAGCGCCCCGCCUGGGGAGUACGGCCGCAAGGCUAAAACUCAAAGGAAUUGACGGGGGCCCGCACAAGCGGCGGAGCAUGCGGAUUAAUUCGAUGCAACGCGAAGAACCUUACCAAGGCUUGACAUAUACGAGAACGGGCCAGAAAUGGUCAACUCUUUGGACACUCGUAAACAGGUGGUGCAUGGUUGUCGUCAGCUCGUGUCGUGAGAUGUUGGGUUAAGUCCCGCAACGAGCGCAACCCUCGUUCUAUGUUGCCAGCACGUAAUGGUGGGAACUCAUGGGAUACUGCCGGGGUCAACUCGGAGGAAGGUGGGGACGACGUCAAAUCAUCAUGCCCCUUAUGUCUUGGGCUUCACGCAUGCUACAAUGGCCAGUACAAAGGGCUGCAAUACCGUAAGGUGGAGCGAAUCCCAAAAAGCUGGUCCCAGUUCGGAUUGAGGUCUGCAACUCGACCUCAUGAAGUCGGAGUCGCUAGUAAUCGCAGAUCAGCAACGCUGCGGUGAAUACGUUCCCGGGCCUUGUACACACCGCCCGUCAAGUCAUGAAAGUCGGUAACACCCGAAGCCAGUGGCCUAACCGCAAGGAUGGAGCUGUCUAA